GAGAGAGACAUGCGCGCAUAUCAAUAAGCGGAGGAAAAGAAACUAACAAGGAUUCCCUUAGUAACGGCGAGUGAAGCGGGAAGAGCUCAAAUUUGAAAUCUUCAAGGUUUUACCAUUGACGAAUUGUAGUUUAAAGAAGUGUUUUCUGCUGAAGUUUUGGUAAAAGUUCUUUGGAAUAGGACAUCAUAGAGGGUGAGAAUCCCGUAUUUGACCAUUAUUUUCAGCUUUGUGAUACACUUUCAAAGAGUCGGAUUGUUUGGGAAUGCAGUCCAAAAUGGGUGGUAAAUUUCAUCUAAAGCUAAAUAUUGGCGAGAGACCGAUAGCGAACAAGUACCGUGAGGGAAAGAUGAAAAGAACUUUGAAAAGAGAGUUAAACAGUACGUGAAAUUGUCAAAAGGGAAGCGUUUGACACCAGUGUUGUUUUCUCGAAAAUCAAUUAAAAAUGGCUCGAUUUUGUAUUGCUGAGACCUUAAAAGCUCACUGUACAUUUUUCGUGUCUUUUUUAAUGCACUUUUCGUUUAACAAGUCAACAUCAGUUUCUUUUGUUGUAAAAGGGUCAUUGGAAGGUGGCUUUCUUUUCGGAGAAAGUGUUUAUAGCCUUUGGCCUCUGCAAUCGGAGAGACUGAGGUCUGCAGCGUAGACUCUUCGGGGUUAGAUACAUUUGUGCUAAGUUAUAGCUUUUUAUAGACAACUUGUUGACUAUAAUUAGUCUUGUAGCUUACUCGCUUAUGCUAUUUUACCUACGCUUAGGAUGUUGAAGAUGUAGCACAUCAU
RNAcentral lists this ribosomal RNA (774 nucleotides) under uncultured Neocallimastigales. RNAcentral's name for it is "partial large subunit ribosomal RNA". It matches the Rfam family "Eukaryotic large subunit ribosomal RNA", at positions 23 to 634 of the family's 3401-position model. The record is from RNAcentral. Lineage: Eukaryota; Fungi; Neocallimastigomycota; Neocallimastigomycetes; Neocallimastigales.